This 426-nucleotide ribosomal RNA is filed under the name uncultured bacterium. RNAcentral describes it as "bacterial SSU rRNA". It matches the Rfam family "Bacterial small subunit ribosomal RNA", at positions 354 to 796 of the family's 1533-position model. The record is from RNAcentral.
GUAGGGAAUAUUGCACAAUGGGCGAAAGCCUGAUGCAGCAACGCCGCGUGUGCGAAGAAGGCCUUCGGGUCGUAAAGCACUUUUCUGGGAGAAGAGUAAGGACGGUAUCCCAAGAAUAAGGAUCGGCUAACUACGUGCCAGCAGCCGCGGUAAAACGUAGGAUCCGAGCGUUAUCCGAAUUCACUGGGCGUAAAGCGCGUGCAGGCGGUUCGUCAAGUUGGAUGUGAAAUCUUCUGGCUCAACUGGGAGAGGCCGUUCAAAACUGGCGGACUAGAGGGCAGUAGAGGGAGGUGGAAUUCCCGGUGUAGUGGUGAAAUGCGUAGAUAUCGGGAGGAACACCAGUGGCGAAAGCGGCCUCCUGGGCUGUACCUGACGCUAAGAUGCGAAAGCUAGGGGAGCAAACGGGAUUAGAAACCCCAGUAGUCC